CCUACGGGAGGCUGCAGUGAGGAAUAUUGGUCAAUGGACGAGAGUCUGAACCAGCCAAGUAGCGUGAAGGAUGACUGCCCUAUGGGUUGUAAACUUCUUUUAUAUGGGAAUAAAACGUUCCACGUGUGGGAUUUUGUAUGUACCAUAUGAAUAAGGAUCGGCUAACUCCGUGCCAGCAGCCGCGGUAAUACGGAGGAUCCGAGCGUUAUCCGGAUUUAUUGGGUUUUAAGGGAGCGUAGGUGGAUUGUUAAGUCAGUUGUGAAAGUUUGCGGCUCAACCGUAAAAUUGCAGUUGAAACUGGCAGUCUUGAGUACAGUAGAGGUGGGCGGAAUUCGUGGUGUAGCGGUGAAAUGCUUAGAUAUCACGAAGAACUCCGAUUGCGAAGGCAGUUCACUGGACUGCAACUGACACUGAGGCUCGAAAGUGUGGGUAUCAAACAGGAUUAGAUACCCUGGUAGUC
Molecule: ribosomal RNA, 460 nt
Filed under: uncultured bacterium
Lineage: Bacteria
Description: partial 16S ribosomal RNA
Rfam family: Bacterial small subunit ribosomal RNA
Source: RNAcentral